GUGGGGAAUCUUGCGCAAUGGGCGAAAGCCUGACGCAGCCAUGCCGCGUGAAUGAUGAAGGUCUUAGGAUUGUAAAAUUCUUUCACCGGGGACGAUAAUGACGGUACCCGGAGAAGAAGCCCCGGCUAACUUCGUGCCAGCAGCCGCGGUAAUACGAAGGGGGCUAGCGUUGCUCGGAAUUACUGGGCGUAAAGGGCGCGUAGGCGGACAGUUUAGUCAGAGGUGAAAGCCGAGGGCUCAACCUUGGAAUUGCCUUUGAUACUGGCUGUCUUGAGUACGGGAGAGGUGAGUGGAACUCCGAGUGUAGAGGUGAAAUUCGUAGAUAUUCGGAAGAACACCAGUGGCGAAGGCGACUCACUGGCCCGUUACUGACGCUGAGGCGCGAAAGCGUGGGGAGCAAACAGGAUUAGAUACCCGUGUAGUCC
Molecule: ribosomal RNA, 425 nt
Filed under: uncultured bacterium
Lineage: Bacteria
Description: bacterial SSU rRNA
Rfam family: Bacterial small subunit ribosomal RNA
Source: RNAcentral